Molecule: non-coding RNA, 894 nt
Organism: Lepisosteus oculatus (spotted gar)
Lineage: Eukaryota; Metazoa; Chordata; Actinopteri; Semionotiformes; Lepisosteidae
Source: RefSeq, a predicted model, not a curated record
CCCGACUGAGCGUGAAGUUCAGAGACUGCGUCUAAACCCACCAUGUGUUUCACCCUGCUGUUGAGAAAAAAAAAAAGACGAUCCGUUUCAAACGGUCCGAUAGGGCAGCUAAAAAGAUGAUCGUAGACACGUGUAUUUCCACAACAUUGUGUUCCUGUAGUACUGUUACAUACUUUGUACAAUCGGAGUAAGGCACGGUCUGCUAAGCAAAGAUUGCCCACCAGUCUUUCAACAACAUGAGCGUUUCUUAAUGGCGUGCGGAGAGGAGCUGAGCGUGAAGCUGUCUGCACACAGCGGCUCUGCAGGCUUCAGGCUUGUCGCUCUCGUACGCAUUGUUGCGUGCAAACAGUGCUCUUACAGGAACACUAGUGAUGCCGUUUUUUUAAAAAAAAGAAUUUAACUGACCAUUUUGAGACCAUUUUCAGUACAUUAAAAUGAGGAGGAGUCCAGUGUUAACUUACAGGCAGUCCUUUCUAAUCUCCAAAAAAUCCCUGAAGCAUCAGUCUGUCUUGUUAUGGUCUUCCCUGAUGUCCUUUUUCAUAUCUCGCAAAAGAAGAAUUAAAACCACCCUUCCAGAUGAUGGGUGUGAUUGGUGACUCUUCUGGAGGUGCUCGUGCAGGCGGAACAAGAGCUCGGCUGGGACUGCAGCAGGGGCUUCAGCAGUGCACAUCUUCCACCACUGCCGUUUAAUGGGAAGACAGUCCGUGUCUCACGGCGAUUCAGGUGGCAGUGUCAAGGAACGGGGCUCCAAACCUUUAUCAAGUAGCCAUGGGGUUGUGCACCGAGAAGAUGCCUACUAACUAACUAACUGUUCACCGCCAGCAUAAUAGGAAAUUGACUGCGUCCUGCUUCGUCUGACUUCUAAUGCAUAAAAAUAAAAUAACUGGAAAUGCA